UACGUAGGGGGCAAGCGUUGUCCGGAAUUAUUGGGCGUAAAGCGCGUGUAGGCGGCCAGAAAAGUCCGCUGUGAAAACUCGAGGCUCAACUUCGAGCUGUCGGUGGAAACUUUCUGGCUAGAGUCCGGAAGAGGAGAAUGGAAUUCCUGGUGUAGCGGUGAAAUGCGCAGAUAUCAGGAGGAACACCCGUGGCGAAAGCGGCUCUCUGGGACGGUACUGACGCUGAGACGCGAAAGCGUGGGGAGCGAACAGG
This 253-nucleotide ribosomal RNA is filed under the name uncultured bacterium. RNAcentral describes it as "partial 16S ribosomal RNA". It matches the Rfam family "Bacterial small subunit ribosomal RNA", at positions 524 to 776 of the family's 1533-position model. The record is from RNAcentral.